AGACCAUGAUAAAGACAAUGCCGAAGUAAUUCUUUAUACCUUUCCCAAGCCUCGUACAACGAUUCAAAAUCUUGCUGCAUGAAUGAUGUGAUAUCAUUCCUCAUUUC
This is a small nucleolar RNA of Theobroma cacao (cacao), 107 nucleotides long. It matches the Rfam family "Plant small nucleolar RNA R71". From Rfam's summary of the family: R71 is a member of the C/D box family of snoRNAs containing the C (UGAUGA) and D (CUGA) box motifs. Multiple nearly identical copies of this snoRNA have been identified in Arabidopsis, and it is thought to function as a 2'-O-ribose methylation guide for 18S ribosomal RNA. The record is from Rfam. Lineage: Eukaryota; Viridiplantae; Streptophyta; Magnoliopsida; Malvales; Malvaceae.